This 439-nucleotide ribosomal RNA is filed under the name uncultured bacterium. Its description in RNAcentral is "partial 16S ribosomal RNA". It matches the Rfam family "Bacterial small subunit ribosomal RNA", at positions 339 to 795 of the family's 1533-position model. The record is from RNAcentral.
CUACGGGUCGCUGCAGUGAGGAAUAUUGCACAAUGGGGGGAACCCUGAUGCAGCAACGCCGCGUGGAGGAUGACGCAUUUCGGUGUGUAAACUCCUUUUAUAUGUCAAGAAAAUGACGGUAGCAUAUGAAUAAGCACCGGCUAACUCCGUGCCAGCAGCCGUGGUAAUACGGAGGGUGCAAGCGUUACUCGGAAUCACUGGGCGUAAAGGACGCGUAGGCGGGUUGGAAAGUCAGGUGUGAAAUCCUACAGCUUAACUGUAGAACUGCACUUGAAACUUCUAAUCUAGAGUAUGGGAGGGGGAGAUGGAAUUAGUGGUGUAGGGGUAAGAUCCGUAGAUAUCACUAGGAAUACCUAAAGCGAAGGCGAUCUCCUGGAGCAUUACUGACGCUAAGGCGUGAAAGCGUGGGGAGCAAACAGGAUUAGAUACCCCGGUAGUC